GGGAUUGUAGUUCAAUUGGUCAGAGCAUCGCCCUAUCAAGGCGAAAGUUGUGGGUUUGAGCCCCGUCAGUCUCG
This 74-nucleotide transfer RNA is filed under the name Gossypium hirsutum (cotton). It matches the Rfam family "tRNA". Rfam says of the family: Transfer RNA (tRNA) molecules are approximately 80 nucleotides in length. Their secondary structure includes four short double-helical elements and three loops (D, anti-codon, and T loops). The record is from Rfam by way of RNAcentral. Lineage: Eukaryota; Viridiplantae; Streptophyta; Magnoliopsida; Malvales; Malvaceae.